Long non-coding RNA from Aegilops tauschii subsp. strangulata, 905 nucleotides. RefSeq lists it as uncharacterized. Lineage: Eukaryota; Viridiplantae; Streptophyta; Magnoliopsida; Poales; Poaceae. The record is from RefSeq and is a predicted model, not a curated record.
UUAAUACACUGUCCAGGUCAUGAUUUUUCUCAACUGCUGCAUGUUUAUAUAUUUGGGUGCUAGUCAAUUAGAGAAUGUCUAUGAUACAAUGUCUGUACUAUGUGCCAGUGUAGUUGUACUGAUACUUUGGGUUCAUCCGUGCAGCAGAGGACAAGGGCUUCAUGGCCAACCAAGGCGCAUGGUGCUCGCAAGCGACGAAUGGAGGUUGUUCGACAUAGGCACGGAGGAGGAGGAGGGGCACGGACGAAGGAGGACAGAGCACCUCUCUUCUUCUAGGUUCUUCUCCAUACCUUCACUUCUUGUAUGUGCCUGUGCUGCAACUCACCCAUGGUCUUGUUUUUCCUGCAGGUUAUUGAGCAGCAUCAGGAGGAGGAGCUCAAGCUCGACCACCAAGAGGCACCAUCGCAGCAGCAGAUGAGUCCCUCGAUGAAGCGGCAGCGUCUCCUCUAGAGGGUGACGGUGGCGGCGGCGCCGGCGCCUGUGUGCAGCUUCGACUACAACCUCCUCUCCGGUGCCACCGGACGCAAUGGUGGAGCCUAUGCCUCCUUGCUGAAGCUUCUCGCUCUACACCAGUUUAUGGUGCUGCGGAUGUGGUUAAGAUGGCGUUCUACACUAUGCUUCUUAUGUUGCAUGUGAAUGGGUGUGAGUAGAUAAAACUAGAGUGUUCUUAUAGGAAGGCAAGUUGUUGCAUCUGGAGCACAUGAGAUGUGCUAAUACGAGUUGGAACAAUGUGAUGUAGUAGUAAGUUAAGGCAAAUUGUGUAGAUGAUGUAUUCCUGUGUAAUUAAAUGUUGUAUUCUCUGUGUACAUGCUGCUUUAAAUGACGUGAAGACUAUGAAAAUUGUGUACAUGCUACUUCAUAUGGAAAAUAGUACUGGGCCUGAAUUGGACAUGGCCCAAACAAAG